This 369-nucleotide ribosomal RNA is filed under the name uncultured bacterium. Its description in RNAcentral is "bacterial SSU rRNA". It matches the Rfam family "Bacterial small subunit ribosomal RNA", at positions 525 to 896 of the family's 1533-position model. The record is from RNAcentral.
ACGAAGGAUCCAAGCGUUGUCCGGAUUUACUGGGUUUAAAGGGUGCGUAGGCGGAGUGCUAAGUCAGUGGUGAAAGCCCGCAGCUUAACUGCGGAACUGCCAUUGAAACUGGCAUUCUUGAAUACGGUGGAGGUAGAUGGAAUAUAACAUGUAGCGGUGAAAUGCUUAGAUAUGUUAUAGAACACCGAUUGCGAAGGCAGUCUGCUACACCGUGAUUGACGCUGAGGCACGAAAGCGUGGGGAGCAAACAGGAUUAGAUACCCUGGUAGUCCACGCCCUAAACGUUGAUUACUCGCUGUUGGCGAUACACUGUCAGCGGCUAAGCGAAAGCGUUAAGUAAUCCACCUGGGAAGUACGUCCGCAAGGAUG